Molecule: ribosomal RNA, 253 nt
Filed under: uncultured bacterium
Lineage: Bacteria
Description: partial 16S ribosomal RNA
Rfam family: Bacterial small subunit ribosomal RNA
Source: RNAcentral
GACAGAGGUCCCGAGCGUUGUUCGGAUUCACUGGGCGUAAAGGGUGCGUAGGUGGCAGUGUAAGUCUGAUGUGAAAGCUUCGAGCUUAACUCGAAAAUGGCAUUGGAUACUAUAUUGCUGGAGGUUUGGAGGGGGGACUGGAAUUCUCGGUGUAGCAGUGAAAUGCGUAGAUAUCGAGAGGAACACCGGUGGCGAAGGCGAGUCCCUGGACAACACCUGACACUGAGGCACGAAAGCUGGGGGAGCGAACGGG